This 70-nucleotide transfer RNA is filed under the name human oral metagenome. It matches the Rfam family "tRNA". From Rfam's summary of the family: Transfer RNA (tRNA) molecules are approximately 80 nucleotides in length. Their secondary structure includes four short double-helical elements and three loops (D, anti-codon, and T loops). The record is from RNAcentral.
CGGAUGUAGCUCAGUUUGGUUAGAGCGCUGGAUUGUGGCUCCGGAGGCCGUGGUUCGAACCCCAUCAUUC